RNAcentral lists this ribosomal RNA (515 nucleotides) under uncultured Glomeromycotina. Its description in RNAcentral is "SSU rRNA". It matches the Rfam family "Eukaryotic small subunit ribosomal RNA", at positions 569 to 1085 of the family's 1831-position model. The record is from RNAcentral. Lineage: Eukaryota; Fungi; Glomeromycota.
AGCAGCCGCGGUAAUUCCAGCUCCAAUAGCGUAUAUUAAAGUUGUUGCAGUUAAAAAGCUCGUAGUUGAAUUUCGGAAUCUGUCCAUCGGUCGGGCUUUAUUGUCCGUACUGGUGUGAUGGGUUCUUACCUUCUGAAUAACCAGGAUGCCAUUCACUUAGUGUGCUGGGGAAGCAGGACUAUUACCUUGAAAAAUUAGAGUGCUCAAAGCAGGCUAGUGCCUGAAUACAUUAGCAUGGAAUAAUAAAAUAGGACGGCAUGGUUCUAUUUUGUUGGUUUCUAGGAUCACCGUAAUGAUUAAUAGGGAUAGUUGGGGGCAUUAGUAUUCAAUUGUCAGAGGUGAAAUUCUUGGAUUUAUUGAAGACUAACUUCUGCGAAAGCAUUUGCCAAGGAUGUUUUCAUUAAUCAAGAACGAAAGUUAGGGGAUCGAAGACGAUCAGAUACCGUCGUAGUCUUAACCAUAAACUAUGCCGACUAGGGAUCGGACGAUGUUAAUUUUUAAUGACUCGUUCGGCG